Molecule: long non-coding RNA, 715 nt
Filed under: Manihot esculenta (cassava)
Lineage: Eukaryota; Viridiplantae; Streptophyta; Magnoliopsida; Malpighiales; Euphorbiaceae
Description: long non-coding RNA (MESC_LNC008269)
Source: RNAcentral
GCUGUCCCAAUCACUUUUCUAUUCUUUUUUUUUCCCUCAUUUUUGCGAGAAAGUUUUUUUUUUUUUAGUUCAAUCCCACAUCGGUUUGAGAUAGUGAUUAGUUUUUGAGAUGAGUUAGGACCGACCCAAAUUUAACAUGUGUCAGAGCCUCCCAUCCAAUGUUGAACCUUCCUUAAGUCCAAUGUUGAACCUUCCUUAAGUAUUUCACACUCUAGUUUAGUUCUGUGCAUGAGUGGUGUGUUGAAUCCAUAUUAAUUUGGGAAUAAAUGUGCUCUUAUAAGGGUUUUAGGGACUCGUCCUCAUCCUUGAGCUAGUUUUUGAGUGAAUUAGGUCUGACCCAAAUUUAACAUAGUAUCAUAGCCUCCCGUCAAUGUUGAGCCUUCCAUAAAUAUUUCACACUCCAGAGUAGUCUUGAAUGUGAAGGGAAAGUGUUAGAAUCCAUAUUGAUUUAGAAUAGGAUAAUGUGCCUUUAAAAAGAGUGGCCAAGAGCCCUUAAAAGGAGUGGCUAAGGCCCUUAGCCACUCCUCCCCUAAUCUACUCCUCCUUUGAACUAGUUUUUGGAAUGAGUUAAACCUAACCCAAAUUUAAAAUUUUUUUUAGGCCAAACCUCAAAGAUGUGAUGCACAUAACUCAUCUGAGAUGAGGCUAGAAACAAUUUAGGCCAAUAAUACAUAAAGAUAGAAGGAGAAAAUAAGGGAAGAGAGACAUUGAGGAC